AAUGCUUGAUUUCUGCCUGGCUACGGCUGGAUACCUGCCAGAGGUAUCCAGAGGCCAGAGGUCUAUGGUGGCAUCUGCUAUGACAGCAGUGCCCCCUGAUUAAGGCUGCCCAGCCUGAGUUCAGACCAGAUGCUAAAGCUGACCCCUGUCAGGAGCUCAGAGACAGAGCCACUCCACAGUGGCACAGUUGUGGGCACUGCUGAUGGGGGAGAAGAAAGCACCCAAAGACUUCCCCACAUGCCUCUUGGGCACAGAGACCAUGUCACAACCAGUUUCCCUGCCUCUCUCACAUCUGAGGGCAAGGGAGAACCCCUGGCCAGGGCACAUGCAUUUCUAGACUGUGUGGAGGGUCCUCCCCUCCACCCUGCAGGGAGAUGUAGGGCCUGGGAACUCCAGCUAGUCCUGGGCCCCCUCCUCCCUAGUCUGCAUCCCACAGCCCAGGGCUGCCUGAAGGCAGGGACCAGGACCCAACACUCAGCCCAGACCCCAGUGACAGUACCUUUGUAUAAUGGAUGCCCAGAGACGGCUCUCCCUAGGGUCUGCUCCCACAAGACCACCCGUCAUCAGGCAGCUGUCGGGUUUGUCAAAGGCGGUGAUUCUGAACAUUCCCCCAGCCUUUAAAAGGAGGGUCACGCAGCGUAAGAAGUAAACUUCGAUAACUGCCAACAUGGGCACAGAGCUUGGGAGCCUGCCCAGGGCUUCCACAGGCACCGCCGUUAUGAUUCAUGCUUCAGCGGCACUGGGAAGCGGGCAGGGGAGGGAACUGAGGCCGGUUGAGGAGGUGGCUCUGCAGGGGAGCACCGACCCCAAGCCUGACAGGGCCAGUAUGCGCUAGGCGGUGCCGCGUCCGCUGCCAGGCGCAAGAGGCUCACUCUCUAAUCAGGCCGUGGACCCCGAGCUAGCCAAGCUGCGCACUGGUGUGCACGCCGGCGCGCGCCAGAGCUUGUGCCGGGGGAGGUGAAGGAGCCGCCCGUCUUAGAAAGAGUAGGCUUCUAGAACUCACCGCCCAGGCCAGCCGGUGAUCAGCCCAGUCCCGCAGGCUGCAGUUGGCCCUGGAGGGGGCGCCCUAGUCGAG
Molecule: long non-coding RNA, 1075 nt
Filed under: Marmota monax (woodchuck)
Lineage: Eukaryota; Metazoa; Chordata; Mammalia; Rodentia; Sciuridae
Source: RNAcentral